CCUACGGGAGGCAGCAGUGAGGAAUAUUGGUCAAUGGACGAGAGUCUGAACCAGCCAAGUAGCGUGAAGGAUGACUGCCCUAUGGGUUGUAAACUUCUUUUAUAUGGGAAUAAAAUGUUCCACGUGUGGGAUUUUGUAUGUACCAUAUGAAUCAAGAUCGGCUAACUCCGUGCCAGCAGCCGCGGUAAUACGGAGGAUCCGAGCGUUAUCCGGAUUUAUUGGGUUUAAAGGGAGCGUAGGUGGAUUGUGAAGUGAGUUGUGAAAGUUUGCGGCUCAAACGUAAAAUUGCAGUUGAAACUGGCAGUCUUGAGUACAGUAGAGGUGGGCGGAAUUCGUGGUGUAGCGGUGAAAUGCUUAGAUAUCACGAAGAACUCCGAUUGCGAAGGCAGUUCACUGGACUGCAACUGACACUGAGGCUCGAAAGUGUGGGUAUCAAACAGGAUUAGAUACCCCAGUAGUC
This 460-nucleotide ribosomal RNA is filed under the name uncultured bacterium. RNAcentral describes it as "partial 16S ribosomal RNA". It matches the Rfam family "Bacterial small subunit ribosomal RNA", at positions 338 to 795 of the family's 1533-position model. The record is from RNAcentral.